GCCGGUGUAGCUCAGGGGUAGAGCAGACGUUUCAUAAGCGUCGGGUCGCAGGUUCGAAUCCUGCCACCGGUA
RNAcentral lists this transfer RNA (72 nucleotides) under Candidatus Wolfebacteria bacterium GWA1_42_9. Its description in RNAcentral is "tRNA-Met". It matches the Rfam family "tRNA". From Rfam's summary of the family: Transfer RNA (tRNA) molecules are approximately 80 nucleotides in length. The record is from RNAcentral. Lineage: Bacteria; Candidatus Wolfeibacteriota.